This 508-nucleotide ribosomal RNA is filed under the name uncultured Desulfobulbus sp. Its description in RNAcentral is "bacterial SSU rRNA". It matches the Rfam family "Bacterial small subunit ribosomal RNA", at positions 903 to 1382 of the family's 1533-position model. The record is from RNAcentral. Lineage: Bacteria; Pseudomonadati; Thermodesulfobacteriota; Desulfobulbia; Desulfobulbales; Desulfobulbaceae.
CGCCUUGCCAGCCCGCUCAGAACUUAAAGGAAUUGACGGGGCCGCACAAGCGGUGGAGCACGUGGUUUAAUUCGAUGCAACGCGAAGAACCUUACCUGGUCUUGACAUCCCGGAGACCCUUAGGAAACUAGGGGGUGCUUCCAUCUGGAAGAAUCUGGAGACAGGUGCUGCAUGGCUGUCGUCAGCUCGUGUCGUGAGAUGUUGGGUUAAGUCCCGCAACGAGCGCAACCCUUGCCUUUAGUUGCCAGCAGUUCGGCUGGGCACUCUAAAGGGACUGCCGGUGUUAAACCGGAGGAAGGUGGGGAUGACGUCAAGUCCUCAUGGCCUUUAUGACCAGGGCUACACACGUACUACAAUGGCCGAUACAAAGGGCAGCGACACUGCGAGGUGAAGCCAAUCCCGUAAAAUCGGUCUCAGUCCGGAUUGGAGUCUGCAACUCGACUCCAUGAAGUUGGAAUCGCUAGUAAUCGUGGAUCAGCAUGCCACGGUGAAUACGUUCCCGGGCCUU